UGGGGAAUCUUAGACAAUGGGGGAAACCCUGAUCUAGCCAUGCCGCGUGAGUGACGAAGGCCCUAGGGUCGUAAAGCUCUUUCGCCAGGGAAGAUAAUGACGGUACCUGGUAAAGAAACCCCGGCUAACUCCGUGCCAGCAGCCGCGGUAAUACGGAGGGGGUUAGCGUUGUUCGGAAUUACUGGGCGUAAAGCGCGCGUAGGCGGCUAUCCAAGUCAGGGGUGAAAUCCCGGGGCUCAACCCCGGAACUGCCCUUGAAACUAGGUAGCUAGAAUACUGGAGAGGUGAGUGGAAUUCCGAGUGUAGAGGUGAAAUUCGUAGAUAUUCGGAAGAACACCAGUGGCGAAGGCGACUCACUGGACAGUUAUUGACGCUGAGGUGCGAAAGCGUGGGGAGCAAACAGGAUUAGAUACCCCUGUAGUCC
RNAcentral lists this ribosomal RNA (424 nucleotides) under uncultured prokaryote. RNAcentral's name for it is "bacterial SSU rRNA". It matches the Rfam family "Bacterial small subunit ribosomal RNA", at positions 355 to 796 of the family's 1533-position model. The record is from RNAcentral.